AAGCACUGCAUGCUAAGUAUAAGCAAUCUAUACUGUGAAACUGCGAACGGCUCAUUAAAUCAGUUAUCGUUUAUUUGAUAGUACCUUACUACUCGGAUAACCGUGGUAAUCCUAGAGCUAAUACAUGCUAAAAACCCCGACUUCGGAAGGGGUGUAUUUAUUAGAUAAAAAACCAAUGCCCUUCGGGGCUCCUUGGUGAAUCAUGAUAACUUAACGAAUCGCAUGGCCUUGCGCCGGCGAUGGUUCAUUCAAAUUUCUGCCCUAUCAACUUUCGAUUGUAGGAUAGUGGCCUACAAUGGUUUCAACGGGUAACGGGGAAUUAGGGUUCUAUUCCGGAGAGGGAGCCUGAGAAACGGCUACCACAUCCAAGGAAGGCAGCAGGCGCGCAAAUUACCCAAUCCCGAUACGGGGAGGUAGUGACAAUAAAUACUGAUACAGGGCUCUUUUGGGUCUUGUAAUUGGAAUGAGUACAAUUUAAAUACCUUAACGAGGAACAAUUGGAGGGCAAGUCUGGUGCCAGCAGCCGCGGUAAUUCCAGCUCCAAUAGCGUAUAUUAAAGUUGUUGCAGUUAAAAAGCUCGUAGUUGAACCUUGGGCCUGGCUGGCCGGUCUGCCUCACCGCAUGUACUGGUUCGGCCGGGUCUUUCCUCCUGGGGAUCCGCAUGCCCUUCACUGGGUGUGUUGGGGAACCAGGACUUUUACUUUGAAAAAAUUAGAGUGUUCAAAGCAGGCCUUUGCUCGAAUACAUUAGCAUGGAAUAAUAGAAUAGGACGUGCGGUCCUAUUUUGUUGGUUUCUAGGACCGCCGUAAUGAUUAAUAGGGAUAGUCGGGGGCAUCAGUAUUCAGUUGUCAGAGGUGAAAUUCUUGGAUUUACUGAAGACUAACUACUGCGAAAGCAUUUGCCAAGGAUGUUUUCAUUAAUCAGUGAACGAAAGUUAGGGGAUCGAAGACGAUCAGAUACCGUCGUAGUCUUAACCGUAAACUAUGCCGACUAGGGAUCGGGCGAUGUUAUUCUUUUGACUCGCUCGGCACCUUACGAGAAAUCAAAUCUUGGGUUGCGGGGGGAGAU
This 1068-nucleotide ribosomal RNA is filed under the name Lasiodiplodia parva. RNAcentral describes it as "SSU rRNA". It matches the Rfam family "Eukaryotic small subunit ribosomal RNA", at positions 46 to 1125 of the family's 1831-position model. The record is from RNAcentral. Lineage: Eukaryota; Fungi; Ascomycota; Dothideomycetes; Botryosphaeriales; Botryosphaeriaceae.